ACGAGCUCUCCGCCGUUCAAAAAUUUGAACCGAUCGUUGUGCACGAGACUCAUCGGAUCGUUCAACAGCUCGAUCCAGCUCUUCUAGAUCAGUUAAACCACGUAUGCCAGUAUUCACCCGUUCGAAAACUGUAGCAGAGCGUGGUGAAACCAGCA
Hibiscus syriacus is the source of this 155-nucleotide long non-coding RNA. RefSeq lists it as uncharacterized. The transcript has 3 exons. The record is from RefSeq and is a predicted model, not a curated record. NCBI's taxonomy places the organism in Eukaryota, Viridiplantae, Streptophyta, Magnoliopsida, Malvales, Malvaceae.